RNAcentral lists this ribosomal RNA (254 nucleotides) under uncultured bacterium. Its description in RNAcentral is "partial 16S ribosomal RNA". It matches the Rfam family "Bacterial small subunit ribosomal RNA", at positions 524 to 776 of the family's 1533-position model. The record is from RNAcentral.
UACGGAGGAUGCAAGCGUUAUCCGGAAUGAUUGGGCGUAAAGCGUCCGCAGGUGGCUGUGUAAGUCUGCUGUCAAAGAGCGAAGCUCAACUUCGUAAAGGCAGUGGAAACUACACGGCUAGAGUGCGUUCGGGGCAGAGGGAAUUCCUGGUGUAGCGGUGAAAUGCGUAGAGAUCAGGAAGAACACCGGUGGCGAAGGCGGGUCUCUGGGCCGAUACUGACGCUGAAGCGCGAAAGCCCAGGGGAGCAAACGGG